CCAGCAGGACUAAACCGCUUCGGGCGCAACGGGACACUGUGACGGAAACCAGAGCACACAGAAAUGCUGUUUACCUUCCCGCCACAGCGGUACCUGUUUAUCUUCUUGCACUGGAAUGCUUUCAAACUGCUAGGUUGGCAGGAGGUGGGACAGAGCAACGGGAGCUCACCCCUCAUGAGGAUUCAAACCACCAACCUUCUGAUCGGCAAGCCCAAGAGGCUCAGUGGUUUAGAGCACAGCGCCACCCUCAUCCCCUUACUUUGUACAAUAGGCUAGUUGCUAAGUGCAUUCGCAUACCCCUCUCUUCCUUCCAUCCAAGCUUGCAAGAGGCAUUAUCAGAGUUUGAGGAAACAUUCCAGCUUGGCAGAAGCCCUCAAGUGGGGGGUGAAAUGAGGGGUGUGACGGAGGAGAAUCCUGAGGGCCAGCUGGAGAGAAUUGGAGGGCCGCAUUGUAUCCAACAAAGUUGGCUAACUUAAUCCCAUUCAUUUCAGUGGGGCUGCUCUUAAUGAUGGCUUAGAUGGAUACAAUCCUUAAUGUAAAUGCUUGAAGGAUGAGAUACGCUUUCAUGGCCAGGUUUGUUUUUAUUUCAGCUGAGCGUCAUUUAUCUCUCCAGCUCAUAGGAAAAGAUAGAGGUCAGGGUGGCUUAGAUGCUGGAAACAUUUUUCUCCUAUUAACUUUAACAGCAAGCUCCCAGAUACCAAAAUGAUGGGUGUAACCUAAAAUGAGAAAUGACAGCCGAGCGCUACUCUAUUACUUGACAUCAAUGAUUGGCCAUGAUACCACACUGUAUAUUUAUGAACGCACAUCAAUUUAUGAAUCAAAGAAAGCAUUGGAGAUUAUAUUAAAAUUCAGCCUCUGAGAUUUUCAGAAGAAUCCCUUUUUUUCCAAGCCCACAAUUUGGAAGCAAGAACAGAACAGGGUAUCCAAAAUGCAAACGUGGGUUUCCCGACGAAAUAACAGAAGCACUCAUAAUGCGCAUGGCGCAUCUUUGCUGUCAAAUUAACAUGAAAUACAGGUUUGGUAUGGGUAAAUGCUUUGUGGUUAAGCAUCCUGUAUUGCACCAUUGUGUUGGUCUUCUUCAGACAUUGCAGUCAUGGAUCAGUUCCUGGUUUGAUAUCCUGUAAGCAGGGAUUAAACCACACUUUCCUGGUUUGUAGAGUGGCAGACUCUAGACCACGGACACUUCCCCUGUUUAGGGAAGCUUUUAAUAUUUGAUGAAUUAUUGUACAGUCGUACCUCCGCUUACAUAUCCCUCUGGUUAUGUAAACUUCGGGACACAUAAGCGGCAAACCCGGAAGUAUAUUUCCGGGUUUUUGGCCGCACAUGUGUGCACAGAAGCGGUCUCUCCGGUUGCGAAAACCUCGGGAUCCAGCCGGACCUCCGAACAGAUCCUGUCCGCAACCAGAGGUAGCACUGUAUUUUAAUAUUUUUCUGGAAGCUGCGCAAAACCCAGCCAGAUGGGCGGGGUAUAAAUAAUAAUUAAUGAUGAUGAUGAUGCCAUACUAAACAUACAAAUCUUUAAAGGUGCAAACGAGACUUGUUCUUGUUUUGGCGGCAACAUACAAGCAAAAUACACCCCCCUCCCCAAACCACUGACAGAAGGGCUUCAGGAUUGGCCAAAGAUGUUUCUCUGAGGGAAAAUAGGAAAUCCCCACCAUGUAGAGGCCUACCCUACGCCCGUGAACAACUCUGUGGGCAUAAAUCUACAUCUGGCAAGUUCUUGUUGGAAAAAUAGGGGAAAUUAGGCCCUGAACUGGGCUUUCCUAGUGGAGCGAUGAUAGGAUGAAGUUGGUCUUGAAUUCACUGGAUCAAAGGUCCCUUCACUGUGGAACUUUACAUCAUUCAUUGGUUAAUCAUUACAUUUAUAUCCCAUCUCUCCUCCAAGGAGCUCAGGGUGGUUAGACGUGGUUCUCCUCUCCUCAGUUUAUCCUCACAACAGCCCUGCGAAGUUGGUUAGGCUGAGAAACUGGCCCAAGGUGACAGCAACAUAGUCAAGUGGGGAUUUGGUCUCCUGGGGGUCCUAGUUUGAUGCUCUCGCCACAGCACCAUGCUGUCUUUUUCUGGAGUGUAGACUCUGAGAGAAAUAAAAGAGUAGGUUUC
Non-coding RNA from Podarcis lilfordi (Lilford's wall lizard), 2100 nucleotides. NCBI's taxonomy places the organism in Eukaryota, Metazoa, Chordata, Lepidosauria, Squamata, Lacertidae. The record is from the annotation of a GenBank genome assembly.